This is a long non-coding RNA of Heterocephalus glaber (naked mole-rat), 5881 nucleotides long. NCBI's taxonomy places the organism in Eukaryota, Metazoa, Chordata, Mammalia, Rodentia, Bathyergidae. The record is from Ensembl.
CAGUCCCCGCGCCGGCGUCCGCGCCCUCGCGCCGCAGCAGCAGCAGCAUCCCGAGACCCCGGCCUGGCCGCGCCUCUUCGAGCCCUCAGCCUGCGUCUCCUUCGCCCGCCGCGUCUCCGCCGCCGCCGCCGCCAUUCCUGGCGCCCAGACCGCCGCGGAGGAAGCGCCCCAGACUCUGCAUCUGACAGAGGGAGGAAACCGAGACCUGGUUGCUGAAAUGUCUGCCCGCACUGAGGAUUAGCCCAGCUACAGAAUAACUCCAGUUUGGCCUCCGGUCACAAUUGAGACUUCAGUGAUCCAGUGAUGCUGUGAUUCUCCAGGACAAGAAACAUCCUGGGAGAACAAACAUCUGCUCAGAUCCUCAUUGUUCUUGGACUGUUAACAUCUUGUUUGCCGGAGAUGUACUGAACUCUCUGCAAGCCUUCCGUUACACCUUGUUUAUCCCAAUGUGAACUAUUGAACUCUCUGCAAGUCAUUUGUUACAUUUGUUUCUCCCGAUGUACUGAAUAAAAGGUGUGGUAAGCUGGGGGCUUUGUCUUUGCUGCCCAGAGCAGCACUGAUCGGGCCCAAAGCUCAGCUUCUUCUCAGUCUCAUUUUUCUACCUUUCCUGUAAUUCGCCGUGUGCUGUCGUGGCUCGCAGGAGACCAGGACUCACUGCAGAGGUUCUGGUAACGUCCCCUUCCCCUGUCCGCUACAGGUGACGGCCAUGUUCACAUGGAGAAGACCUCUGAGACCUUAUCUCAGGCUGAAUGGAAGGCUUCGGUGGUUCUGUUACAUCACCAAAAAAACUCAAGACAUAAAAAACUCCCCAGCUUUCAAAUCAUUUGAAGAAAAGGUUGAAAACUUUAAAGUCUAAAGUAGAGGGAUCCAAGCCUGCUGGUGGUAUUUUUGGAGAAGUCUUAAAUUCAACUGUGAAUGUUAGUGCCACCUCCAGAUAGGCACAGUAGAGCCUGUCAGAUUCCUGCCUUUGUUCUGCUGCCCACUACCAGAUGCUGCAAGGAAGAUCCAAGCACAUCUUGUCAACAUUCAUUGCUGGGGAUUUCUACCAGAUGUGCUUUUAUUUAGUGUCAUAUUUCUUUGACCAAAUAGUUUGUGAAUUAAAAGGAAAAUAUCUUCAUGUCUACUCCCAGGAAGCACCCUGAAUGUGCAUUUAAGGUCCUUUAUUUAGGGAAAUACUAUUUCACAGACACAGGUAAUGCUAGAGACAUUUGCUAGACUGAUCUGAGAAGCUGCAUGUGACUAUAGUUGCUUUCCCACUGUACAUAAUUGCUCUGUAUCUGAGGCACUAAUACUUGCAUGUGUCUUCUAGAUGAGAGUCAAAGAAGGGAAAAAAAUCAUCUUGCAGCAUCUGGCAGUGGGCAGCGGAACAAAGGCAGGAACUUCUAGGGAAGACAGGCAUCACUUCUGUCAUAACUGGUGCACAGCCAGAUGCAGGAACAUGGGGCCCCUCUACAAGGUGUGGAAGGUGUGGAAGGGACAUUUAGCACUUUACCAGUGUGGGCGAGGUGGCCACAUCUGACCAGCUUUGCUGGUCUGAAGGUCUGUCCAGGACACAUUCCUGGUUCUCACAGGCAAGAGCCCAAGACAGCGGCUGUGUCUCACUGUGGUCAUGCAGCACCCUCCCUGCCCAUGAGGACCCCUCUGUGCCGUGUUACUGGGUGGCGUGUGUGUUCCCUUCUGAGCUUCAGGGGCUUAGGUCACUUACACAAAGGUGAAUCUUGUGAUGACACCACUGUGCCCAUGAGCAUGCAGAUAUCUGAGUCCCUGCUUCCUCUGUGUGCAAUCCCUGGAUCCCAUGAUAAUUCUGUGAGGACCUUCAUACCUUUUUUGCAGUUUUCACACCAUUUUGCAUUCCAACCGGCAAUGUACAAGAGUUCAUUUUUUCCCCUUCCUCAUCAAGACAGUUUUUCUGGUAAUGGCCACCCUGCUGGGUAUGAGGUAGUCAGUUCUGCUUUUUAACUAAAGCUUCAGUGUGGACACAUGGGCCAUUUUCACUAAACAUCAUUCUCUUGGGGCACUGAGUCCUUUCCAUGCUCGAGAUCUGCAAGUCCCCAGGGCUGUGCCCCUGCCCUGGGGAUCAGAGCCUUGCAGUGGGCCACGCAGGAUGAGCUGAUGGCCCUGGUUGCUCCUGAGGGCAAAGAGCUCUGGACAGGUUCCUGGCCUUCCUGCUGCACCUGCAUUUAUUUCUCCUCUGACUUCGCAGUCCUCACUGUCUUGGAUUGUCCUCACCAGUUGUCAGCCUCUUGCCCUUGGUCUUGGCUCCUGAGUCGCCAGGGGUCUAGGUGUGAGCACCAGCCCAGCAGAGAUGCAUGGAGGAGCUGCCUGCUCAGUGUGGUUGCUGUCCACCAUCUGCCUGACCAGUGCCUGACAUUGGCUCUCAGUGCACUUCAUUAUGGUUGCGCAAAGCUUGUGUGCAGUUUGCAGCUAGGUACUUGUGUGAGGUUAUUCAUCCCUGUGUCCCUGAGACCUCUAGACUGAGCAGGGACAGUGCCUGGCCUUGGGUAGCACCCGGUGAGUCGCUUUGUAGGUGCUGGGCAGAGGCAUGGAUAAAGCAGGGCAUGGCAGAGCCGAUGGUUCAUCUCUUUCCUUUCCAUCUUUGGGUUCUAAUGGGCCUUCAGUUUGUUUGAGGCUCAUAUUCCAGCCACUUAGAAACUUAGCAUCCAAGGUUGAAGAGAACCUUUUUCUUCCACAAGGUGGGGUCUCAUCAUGUUGCCCAGGCUGGUUGGUGUUGAACUUGUGGGCUCAAACCAUCCUUCUCUCUCAGCCACCUGAGUAGCUGGACUGUAGGCGUGUGCCACCAUGCCUGGCUGGAGAGGACCUUUGGCUUGUUAGACAGCCAGCUCCUUGGCAGCAGGGCUGACUCAUCCCAGUUAUUGAGUACUUUAGAGUUAAUCAGGAAGUGACAGUCAAGUGAAAGGUGACAUCCAAGGCAGCCAGCACCUAUAGGCUGCUGCUGGAGCGGUAUCCUGGGUGGCAGUUCUGCCCCUGGCCAGGACCCAUUCCCCAGUGGCUAGAGUUGUUGAGGGAUGGGCCUCAGUGACAGCAAUGGUGCACACAGUGACUGCAGGGCCACCUGGCCAUGGUUUCUCCAGCUGGUUUUGCGUCACCUGUUUGUUGUAGCCUCUGUGGGCCUCUGCUUUGAAGCUUGGAGUUUAAGUCUUGCAGAGACUGUGGUGAGCAUGGGCCUGCAGCAGGUGGCUCUGCUUGGUGAGCAGCACUGUGCUCAGGCACUCUCCCAGUGCACAGGGGCUGCCUGCAGACCAAGUCAGUGGCUGCCAGAGCCCCAGGAGCUGUGUGGACUCAGGUUCCCUUAGGCCACAAGGACAGCCACUUCCUUUCCCCUCCCAACAGUUUCUUCAGAGAAAAGGUCACUCUAGAAAGAGCAAAAUGUCCAGCUGAAGAAAGUUGUUUGUUAAGUGACUGCUCUUGAAAAGGUUAAACAAUCUCAUUAAAUGCUUAGUAAAUAACCCAAGUCAUUCCAUGGUAGUGAAUUUUAAUAUUACUACAAAUAUUAGGAGCUGAUGUUUUUGUCCCUAGUGGUAUUAAGUAUAAUCUGGACAUCUGUGGACACCAGCUCCACCUUAUAGACAGAAACCAAGCUGGGCCUGGGUCACAUAGUUGGUACCAGUCCUCCCAGUGCUGGAACCUAGGUCCUACCAUUUAACUGACUCUCUUUAGGGGACUAACGGGGCAGAACUAAUCAGAGCAGAAAUGCAGAGGUAUGCAGGUAAAUUGAGGCACAGGCCCACCAGUGAUAACAGUAUAGGUGAACCAGAGGUCAUAUGGGGGGAUAAGGUGUGGAUCCCAGUCUGGCUAAGGUAGAUGGGGAUAUGGCAGGGAUGUGCUGCAGGGGGAUUCAGGCCAUCUCUCCCUUUUCAAGAACAAUGUUGAAAAAUACCUGCAGUGAAAUAAUUAGAAUAUACAGGAAAGCCCAAGAAGAACUUUAAACAGUUCCUAAAAUUCUAGUGCCUAGAACCAAGUGCCACUGGUGUUUUGGUGUCCCUCCUUGUGGAGGUCAUCCUGCUGUGUGUGUGGUGGCAUCUUGGCCAGCCCUGGUGCUCCCAGCUCUGAGACCCAGCCUUGCUCUCCUGGGCAGCCUGCAGGUCAGGAAUCCUGGUGGAAAUCCAUCCCAUCUGGGUCCUUCCCGGAUCCUGAUGCUCAUGACUGUGUUUACAUGAACAAGCCUACACUUAAGUGCGGAUUUAUCAUCUCUUCUUUGCACUUAAUAAUAGACUGUGUUCAUCUUUCUUUGCCAAGAACAUCGCCUUGCCUGGUGUGUAUAGCUUGCAUUAUGUGCUGUGCUGUUGUUUAACCCAUUGCUGAUGGGCACACAAUGGAUGAGCUGAGCAAUUUGUUGUUGUUGUUGUUGCAAUACUAAGGACUGAAUCCAGGGCCUUCACACUGCUACAUCUGCGUUUUUUAAAUUUUGAGACAGGGUUUUACUAAGUUGCCAGUUUGCGCAAACUGGGUUUGAACUUUCAGUCUUUCUGCCUUUGCCUCCCAGAGUGUUGAGAUUACUGGCUUGGGUCACCACACUUGGCUGGGUGAUUGGUUUUUACUGUGAAGGCACCUUGGAGAUAAAUGUUCCUGAGCAGCCCUUUGAACUGGUGGGGUUGCAUGCCUGAGCCCAGCAGGCUCCUUACACAGCUGAGACCCGUUUCUGCUCUCUCCCGGGAGCCAUAAUUUUGGGGGCCCUCUCUGCUUUGGAAAAUGGCAGCCUGUUUGCCGUUGGCACUCUGGCAGCAUCACAGCACCAUGUGUCCCAUUGAGAGCUGGGGACAUUGAGCCUGCCUGACAGGUGGGGCCCAUGACCCUCAGCGCAGGUGUGUGUGAUGCAGCUGUGCAGAGGGACAAGCAUGCUCUAGCGGCUCAAUGGAGGAGAGAUGCAGGCAGGCUGUGCUGGGCAAGCUGGGGCAAGUGCGUCUUGUUUCUGGCUGUAAGUUGGGAAACUACUGCUGAAAACUUCCUGUGGUUCUGAGAUUCUGUGAUGUAUGUCCUGACCUGUGAGUAAGCCCCAGCCUGUUCUCCCCAGCCAGACCUGUUGCAGCCCCUCUCCCUGCAGAGCUGUGCAGUCACGGCAGAGCUGCCACUUUGCCUGAAUUACUCAUUGCUUUUCCUCCUCGCCUGAGCAGGUGUCUGCCGUGUCGAGGGGGAGGGUGCACCCUCUCCUUUCUCCUGUGAGUGAAUUGAAGGCUUCCUGGCAAGGAGAGCCUGUGAAAUGGCCAUGGUGAGUGGCUCCUGGGGGUAGAUGGGGUGAGAACAGGCCGCACUGCCAGCAGCCCUGUGGGAACUGAGCUGGGGAGCUGUGGUGGCUGUGGGUAGUCUAGGAUGGACCAGCUGCCUGUGAUCUGAGACUGAGACUGAGUGUGGAAGGGGCCCCACCCUGAGGGCUGAGUCCAUCCUCUCUUCACAGCACUGGGCCUCGGGACCCAAGCAGAACCAGAGGGACACAGAGGGCAGAACCUGGGGUCAGCUCUGUGCUGGCUGCUGAUAGGAGUGGAAAGGAAGAGGACAGAGCUUUGUGCUUUUCUGUAUACAUUUAUCCCUAGGUAUCUGCAGAGACCACUUCAGAAGCACACCCCCUCUCCAGGGCAGAGGCCAAAAUCCCGGAUGUUCAGUUGCCUUGCAGAACGUGGUGCAUGUAACCUGCCUAUAUCCUCUUGUAUACUUUCAACCAUUUCUAGGUGACUUCUGAUACCUCACACAGUGCAAAUGCUGUGUAAAUAGGUAUUGUAUUAUUUAGGGAAUAAUGACCAAAAAGUCUACUUGUUUAGCACAAACAAUUUUAUUUUAGAUAUUUUCCAUCUGCAGCUGGUUGAAUCCCCAGGCAUGGAACCCAUGGAUGCAGAGUCUAGCUGCAUUUCUGUGCAGCUGGUCCAUG